AUUGCUCUAUCUUUUUCAGAGACGAUGAAAAGUGUGGGCGUUGCGAGCACCACUGUGGUCUGACCUCAAACUUCAAAGAAGAGGAGGGCUACAAACCAAAUGUUAAACUCGACUACACAGAUGAUGAUGGACAUGUACUUAAUGCAGAGGAGGCUUUCAGAUACCAGUCUCAUGAAUUUCAUGGAAAGGGACCUGGCAAAAAUAAAGUGGGGAAGCGAAUGAAGAAAACUGAACAGGAGGGAGGCAACCAUCUCAAAAACCAAACUGCAAAUUCUUCAUGAAAUGUGCUGGCACCAACUCUCAACUUUGGCGCGGACUUAUGUUUUUAUUGUUUCUUACUGUCUGGAAUAUCAUCUCUAUUUUUAAAUAAGACACAGCUUGCAGCUGCCAACAGUGUCUAUGUGUGCCGGAAGGAAGACCACAGAGUUCAUGUCUCAUUCAGAUGAGUACAGUGGUUCUCCUGCUUCCUUAGGUAACCUGUUGGCACCUGUAAGCUGAAAAGUACAAUUUCUAGUGAUUAGUUGCUUGCUUAUAGGACUUGAGACAGAUGAACAGCCUCUAAGCUAAAACAGACAUGAAGUAAUUAUAUUUGGUGAACAGAGUUCAUGGAGGUAGGCCUAGGCCCACUGGGGCUGUAGUGCCAAGAGAAAAAAGAAAAGAAAAAAAUAUAUUUGGCCUUUCCUGAUUGCAGUAGCAAUACUGUAUCCUUCCAAGGGAAGAAAGAAGCCCUUGUUGAGCUGUAGACCAGUAUGAAAGGCUGUAAAAUUAUACAAGCAACAGAAUCAGAAGAUGUACAGUCUACUGCAAAUCAUUGUAAAGCACCACUGAUAUAUCACUGAAACAUUUGUAAUGUGUUAUAAAAGUAACUUGGUUCAUCCUGGUCCGUUGCACUAGUAAAUGUAUACAAGGUUUUUAACCACUGUCCAGUGUGAUUGAUAAAAGUCGUUUUUAAUUUUUUAUACUUUACAUGUUUUGGUCAAAACGACCAUCUUCAGAAGGAUAUUAUCAACACGUAUGGAAACUACUGUUUCACGUUAUUACAGUUAGUCUGUUUACAAAAUAAUGUUCAGUAUUUGUUUUAAACUAGAACCAAUGUGGUUUCUUGUCCUUACACUUUUGUAAUAAUUUUAGAUGUUUUAACAAAUCACUGCACAUCUUAAUAUUAGUUAAAUGAUAUAACAUAUAUAUCUGUGACGUAACAGUAGUUUCCGUAUGUGUUGAUAAUAUCCUUCUGAAGAUGGUCAUUUUGACUGAAACAUUAAAAACGACUUUUAUCAAUCGCACUGGACAGUGGUUACAAAUCUUACAUGUGGUUAUAAAAGUCCUGUGUUUAAUCCACAUGCAGAUGAUGAAGAGUCUUCUGUAGGUAUACAAAAACUCGAAAGACACAGAGACUUGGCCAAUAAUGUCAGGUCAUGAAACUGUGUAAAACUGAUCUUAAGGCAUCUUCUUGGAGGUGGUGAUAAUGAUUUGAACCCAAAAUGAACAUAUCAGUUGAUGCUGAACAUUAUCUGAAGUCUGAAUUGUAAUCCUGAUGUGCUACUAAUCUUCACUUAAGUAGGUACACGGACAGACUACAGGUGUUCCCAAACUUGCAUUUUUCUUGAUAUCAGUAAUGCAUAACUGUAAGCUGACAACCUCAGUCACAUAUGUUCCAGCCACCUAAUUAUUUAAGACAGUUUCAAUAUGUUUUAGUCUUUGUUAAUAUAAAUUAACUUGAAAUCACCUUAUUACAAAAGUUGUUACAUUUGUGUAUUUCCUCAUGAAAUACGGAUUAUAAUUUAAAGCAUGUACACCUACUCCAUUAGGUGCAUGCAGAAUAUGUUGUUCAGUUAGUGCAGUUACUUGCAAGGUUGGAAUUAUGUGUGGAGUUGAUUUUAGUUUGUAACAUUCUCACUCAGAGCAGUCUGCUUGUGGUAAUUGAUGGUCAUUACUAUCCGUCCUUACCAUAGGUAAUUAAUUUUUCAGAAAAUGGUUUUCAAACAAAAGGUAUGACACACCUAUCAAUAGAAACUGAAGAUUUUGUUUAUUGGUCAGUAUCCUGUUGAGAAAGAUAACAAUAAAAUAGUUUUGCUUGGUGUAGUAUUUAAAUGUAUAUCAUCUUUAGGAAAAAUGAUAUAAAAAUGCUUAAAUUUCAUGA
Long non-coding RNA from Cryptotermes secundus, 2140 nucleotides. RefSeq lists it as uncharacterized. The transcript is spliced from 3 exons. NCBI's taxonomy places the organism in Eukaryota, Metazoa, Arthropoda, Insecta, Blattodea, Kalotermitidae. The record is from RefSeq and is a predicted model, not a curated record.